Molecule: long non-coding RNA, 903 nt
Filed under: Nicotiana benthamiana
Lineage: Eukaryota; Viridiplantae; Streptophyta; Magnoliopsida; Solanales; Solanaceae
Description: long non-coding RNA (NBEN_LNC019796)
Source: RNAcentral
AUUCCCGAGAUAAAGGAGGAGUUGGGACUGAGAAAACCUGACUAUUGUAAGGUCGGGAUACAGGGAAACUUUUACAUGAAAAUUUUUUUCCCAAGAGAAUUAAAUUAAAAUAAAAUAAAAGUAGUCUUAGGAUCUAAUAAAAGCAUAUUCAGUUAGAAAAUCCUAGCAAGAAGCAGUCAAUACUCACAAGAAAUCUAAACAAAUAAAAAUUUUCCAAAAUAUACAAAGUACUGCAUCUUAUUAUAUCUCCAAAGAACAAAAUAUAAAAAAAUAAAAAGUUACAAAGCACCAAAAUUAAUUUAAAAAUCAAAGCCACCCAUAUCUCCCAUGGCAUCCCCGUAGCCAUCAUCAUAAGCAGCCAUCUCUCCAACAUCCGAAACCAUAUCUCCCACCAACAAACCACCAAGCAAACCAGCACCCAAUCCCAAACCAAAUCCACCACCCAUCCCAAACUUGUUCUUUUUCUUAGGUUGUUGCACCGGUGGAUAUUGGUACCCAGGUUGUGAAUACCCGUAACCAGGUUGCGCGUAUCCAUGACCAGGUGCACCACUAGCUGAUGGGUAUCCAGCGUGCGGAUACCCACCAUAAGAAGUUUGAGGAGGAGGAGGAUACGCAUAUCCGGGAUUUUGCUGAUACCAGCACCCAAUCCCAAACCUAAUCCACCUCCCAUUCCAAACUUGUUCUUUUUCUUAGGCUGUUGCACCGGUGGAUAUCCAUACCCAGGUUGUUGUACGGGUGGAUACCCGUACCCUGGCUGUGGUUGCGGGUAUCCAUAACCAGGUGCACCACCAGCAGGUGGGUAUCCAGUGUGUGCAUACCCACCAUAAGAAGUUUGAGGAGGAGGAGGAUAUGCAUAUCCCGGAUUUUGCUGAUUAUAAGCCAUCCCUGCAGGAUAUGAAUUAC